AGAGUUUGAUCCUGGCUCAGAAUGAACGCUGGCGGCAUGGAUUAGGCAUGCAAGUCGAACGUGCUCCCUUCGGGGAGAAAGUGGCGAAAGGGUGAGUAACACGUGAGCAACCUGCCUCCGGAUCCGGAAUAAUCCAGGGAAACUUGGUCUAAAACCGGAUGAAGACAUUGGUCCGCAUGGUCUAAUGUUAAAAUAUUUAUAGUCCGGAGAGGGGCUCGCGGCCCAUUAGCUUGUUGGCGGGGUAAUGGCCCACCAAGGCUACGACGGGUAGGUGGUCUGAGAGGAUGGUCACCCACACUGGGACUGAGACACUGCCCAGACUCCUACGGGAGGCUGCAGUCGAGAAUCUUCCGCAAUGGGCGCAAAGCCUGACGGAGCGAUGCCGCGUGAGGGAUGAAGGCCUUCGGGUUGUAAACCUCUGUCAUCCGGGAACGAAAACAAUGACGGUAACCGGAAAAGGAAGCCACGGCUAACCACGUGCCAGCCGCAGC
Molecule: ribosomal RNA, 491 nt
Filed under: uncultured bacterium
Lineage: Bacteria
Description: bacterial SSU rRNA
Rfam family: Bacterial small subunit ribosomal RNA
Source: RNAcentral